CCACAUUUGGAAAUCUCCCCCUUAUAACUUUGGCAUCAUUCGCAAUAUGAAACCAAUAUAAGGAGUGGAAUCAAACCUAGCAGUGUGUGGUAGAGGACCCCUGAAGACUCCUGCUUGAGGAUUGUGAAAUAUAAAAGACGUUUGACAUAGAAAGGGUCAGACAUAAGCCGCCACCAUGAGUACGGACGCAGAAAUGGCCAUUUAUGGCAAGGCUGCUAUUUACCUGCGUAAGCCAGAGAGGGAGAGACUUGAGG
This is a long non-coding RNA of Hippoglossus stenolepis (Pacific halibut), 254 nucleotides long. RefSeq lists it as uncharacterized. NCBI's taxonomy places the organism in Eukaryota, Metazoa, Chordata, Actinopteri, Pleuronectiformes, Pleuronectidae. The record is from RefSeq and is a predicted model, not a curated record. The transcript is spliced from 3 exons.